AGUGAACGCUGGCGGCAGGCCUAAUACAUGCAAGUCGAACGGCAGCACAGUGGAGCUUGCUCCAUGGGUGGCGAGUGGCGGACGGGUGAGGAAUACAUGGGAAUCUGCCCAGUCGUGGGGGAUAACGUAGGGAAACUUACGCUAAUACCGCAUGCGCCCUUCGGGGAAAGCCGGGGACCGUAAGGCCUGGCGCGAUUGGAUGAGCCCAUGUCGGAUUAGCUAGUUGGCGGGGUAAAGGCCCACCAAGGCGACGAUCCGUAGCUGGUCUGAGAGGAUGAUCAGCCACACUGGAACUGAGACACGGUCCAGACUCCUACGGGAGGCAGCAGUAGGGAAUAUUGGACAAUGGGCGCAAGCCUGAUCCAGCCAUGCCGCGUGAGUGAAGAAGGCCCUCGGGUUGUAAAGCUCUUUUGUCCGGAAAGAAAAGACGCCGGGUAAUACCCUGGUGUCCUGACGGUACCGGAAGAAUAAGCACCGGCUAACUUCCGUGCCAGCAGCCGCGGUAAU
This 507-nucleotide ribosomal RNA is filed under the name uncultured bacterium. Its description in RNAcentral is "bacterial SSU rRNA". It matches the Rfam family "Bacterial small subunit ribosomal RNA", at positions 29 to 524 of the family's 1533-position model. The record is from RNAcentral.